UAUAUGGAGAGUUUGAUCCUGGCUCAGGACGAACGCUGGCGGCGUGCCUAAUACAUGCAAGUCGAGCGGACGGAUGGGAGCUUGCUCCCUGAAGUCAGCGGCGGACGGGUGAGUAACACGUGGGCAACCUGCCUGUAAGACUGGGAUAACUUCGGGAAACCGGAGCUAAUACCGGAUAAUUCUUUCCCUCACAUGAGGGGAAGCUGAAAGAUGGUUUCGGCUAUCAC
Molecule: ribosomal RNA, 227 nt
Filed under: Bacillus sp. ISL-47
Lineage: Bacteria; Bacillati; Bacillota; Bacilli; Caryophanales; Bacillaceae
Description: partial 16S ribosomal RNA
Rfam family: Bacterial small subunit ribosomal RNA
Source: RNAcentral